AUACGUAGGGGGCGAGCGUUGUCCGAAGUUACUGGGCGUAAAGCGCGCGUAGGCGGCUCUUUAAGUGACUGGUGAAAUCCCCGGGCUCAACCCGGGGUAGUCUGGUCAUACUGGGGAGCUAGAGUGUGGGAGGGGAGAGCGGAACUCCUGGUGUAGCGGUGAUAUGCGUAGAGAUCAGGAAGAACACCCGUGGCGAAGGCGGCUCUCUGGACCAUAACUGACGCUGAGGUGCGAAAGCCAGGGGAGCGAACGGGAUUAGAUACCCCGGUAGUCCUGGCCCUAAACGAUGGAUACUAGGUGUGGCGGGUAUCGACCCCUGCCGCGCCGCAGCUAACGCAAUAAGUAUCCCGCCUGGGGAGUACGGCCGCAAGGUUGAA
Molecule: ribosomal RNA, 377 nt
Filed under: uncultured bacterium
Lineage: Bacteria
Description: bacterial SSU rRNA
Rfam family: Bacterial small subunit ribosomal RNA
Source: RNAcentral